This 474-nucleotide ribosomal RNA is filed under the name uncultured bacterium. RNAcentral describes it as "SSU rRNA". It matches the Rfam family "Bacterial small subunit ribosomal RNA", at positions 26 to 521 of the family's 1533-position model. The record is from RNAcentral.
AGAACGAACGCUGGCGGCAUGCCUAACACAUGCAAGUCGAACGCUCUUGGGAUUUCGGUCUCAAGGGAGUGGCGCACGGGUGAGUAGCGCGUGGGAACCUGCCCUGUUGUGGGGGAUAACCGAGGGAAACUUCGGCUAAUACCGCAUGCGCCCCCGGGAGUGAUCCUGGGGGGAAAGAUUUAUCGCAGCAGGAGGGGCCCGCGUCGGAUUAGGUAGUUGGUGGGGUAACGGCCCACCAAGCCUGUGAUCCGUAGCUGGUCUGAGAGGAUGAUCAGCCACACUGGGACUGAGACACGGCCCAGACUCCUACGGGAGGCAGCAGUGGGGAAUAUUGGACAAUGGGCGCAAGCCUGAUCCAGCAAUGCCGCGUGAGUGAUGAAGGCCUUAGGGUUGUAAAGCUCUUUCAGCAGGGACGAAGCGAAAGUGACGGUACCUGCAGAAGAAGCACCGGCACUACGCGCCAGCAGCCGCGGU